This 510-nucleotide ribosomal RNA is filed under the name uncultured bacterium. Its description in RNAcentral is "partial 16S ribosomal RNA". It matches the Rfam family "Bacterial small subunit ribosomal RNA", at positions 28 to 507 of the family's 1533-position model. The record is from RNAcentral.
GACGAACGCUGGCGGCGUGCUUAACACAUGCAAGUCGAACGAAGAGCGAUGGAAGCUUGCUUCUCUCAAUCUUAGUGGCGAACGGGUGAGUAACGCGUAAUCAACCUGCCCUUCAGAGGGGGACAACAGUUGGAAACGACUGCUAAUACCGCAUACGAUCUAAUCUCGGCAUCGAGGAUAGAUGAACGGUGGCCUCUACAUGUAAGCUAUCACUGAAGGAGGGGAUUGCGGCUGAUUAGCUAGUUGGAGGGGGAAAGGACCACCAAAGCGAUGAUCAGUAGCCGGUCUGAGGAGAUGAACGGCCACCUUGGGACUGAGACACGGCCCAGACUCCUACGGGAGGCAGCAGUGGGGAAUCUUCCGCAAUGGACGAAAGUCUGACGGAGCAACGCCGCGGGAGUGAUGACGGCCUUCGGGUUGUAAAGCUCUGUUAAUCGGGACGAAAGGCCUUCUUGCGAAUAGUGAGAAGGAUUGACGGUACCGGAAUAGAAAGCCACGGCUAACUACGUG